GAGGGGGGCGGCGGGGCUCGGCCGGGGGCCGCAUGCUGCCGCUGCGGCGGUGCCCAGCGCGGCAGGGACUGCGCGGCCGGCCCGGCGACAAGGAUGCGGCAGAUCCGGCUUCCUGGAGGAGGGGCCGCCGCCCGGGCAGGGCAGGGCAGGGCAGGGCAGGGCAGGGCCCCGCUCCGCCGCCUCAGGUGCGGAGGGGCUGGGCCAGAAGACGCGGAGUCUCGGCCGUGCUGCGCAGCUCCUCGGCGGCUCCUCGCAGCUCCGCACAGCGGGCGCCGGGCGGCGUCCCGGGAGGGAUCCCCGCGCAGGGCCGCGCCCGCCCACUCUCUUGGCGGCUCCGCGGCGGCCCCCGCCCGCCUCGGCGCUCCGCUACCGGCGCAGUCCCGGGCCGGGACAGCUCCCGCUGUCGGGCGGGGCGCUUUGGGGCGGGGCAGCGGGACUGGGGCGCAUCCCCUCGGGCCGCCCGGGCCGGGCUGACAGCGCGGCGGCCCCGGCCCCGUGCCCGCGCUGCGCCCCGCCGGCCGCGCGGGGGCGCCCUCCCGGCGGGCCGGGCGGUGCCGCGCGCUGCCGCGCGCCCCGGAAGGCCCCGGCGAGCCAUGGCCGCGCUGUCCCGCACGCUCGGCAUCUUCGGCGCCUUCGUGGCCGUGGUGGGAGCCGCCUUCUACCCCAUUUAUUUCCGGCCGCUGCUGCUGCCGGAGGAGUACAGUGAGUCCGUGCGCGGGGGGAGCUGGCUGGGCCAUGGCGCGGUCUGUGCCGGGGCUUGGGGGAAUGCUGGGGCGUCUGCUCGAGAAUGAGCAGUCAAUAAACCGAGCUGGUAUUGUUCAAGAGGAUAUUCAGCCUGCAGGGUUAAAAGUGUGGUCGGAUCCAUUUGGAAGAAAGUAAUUGGCAGCUGGGUGUAUUGCAAAACUGAAGAUGGACGUCUUCAGCUGCUUCUUCUUUCACUGAAGUGUGUCUUUAGGUGUCACUGGAGCAGAAUUCUGAAUAUGCUGUGUGGGCACAUGAGGAGCAACAAAGGCUACUGGUUGGAAUCCCAAGAGAUAAAAACAUGCUAGUUUUGAGAGAGAAUGCUGGUGCGUAGCUCACAGACUGUUAGAAAGCUGAAUGAUUAGUGAGUAUAGAAAUGAAAUAUUUACAUCCUUGAGAAAAGGAAAAAGGAUUUUCUUCUAAUCUGUACACUUGUAAGUUAUGGAUAGAAUUAAUCAUGCAGACUGCUGGAAUUUCCUCCCUAGUUUGAAAGUUACAACACAGUGAAUGUAAAUUUGUACAUUAAAAAAUUUAAACCAA
RNA transcript from Motacilla alba alba, 1281 nucleotides. It is a transcript of the gene named small integral membrane protein 20, with no coding region annotated. The transcript has 3 exons. NCBI's taxonomy places the organism in Eukaryota, Metazoa, Chordata, Aves, Passeriformes, Motacillidae. The record is from RefSeq and is a predicted model, not a curated record.